UAGUUUCUUUUUUAUGUAGUC
RNAcentral lists this non-coding RNA (21 nucleotides) under Caenorhabditis elegans. The record is from RNAcentral. Lineage: Eukaryota; Metazoa; Nematoda; Chromadorea; Rhabditida; Rhabditidae.